GGCAGCCUGUGACUGAAUGAGAGAAAAGUGCCCUAGAAGCUAUUCAUUACGAAUUCACUGGAAGCUCUCAAACGAGGCUGGCAGAAGCUGAAAUUGAAGUGGUCUCUGACCUAAUUUUCUUCUGCAUGAAACAUCUGCAUCAAGGCUCUCUUUGAUGUAUUCCACUUGGCUCUGUCUACGGGAUUGUAUCACAUGGACUCGGUGUUGCCUCCUUAUUGAAAGACAUUUCCAGCCUUUGCAAGGUUGCUCCCAGUUUACAAAUAGAGCAAGAAAGACCCAGACAAGUAACACUGGCUCACUCAGUAUAUCCCAGAAACCAGGGAUAAAAGAUGAAAACCUAGUCCACUGCCUUCCAGCCACAGCCUGUGUUCUUCAACCAUGUUGCCUUUUUGAGAAAAAUAUUCCUCACCUCAACUCCAUUCAAAUAUAAUGUCUGUUCAGCCAUCAAGAGAGAAAAGACCAAAGAUGGCCGGUUUGACACAAAUUAGAACAACCUUGAUAGCUGUCAACUGGAGACUAUCUGAGAACAAAAGGACAUUAUUGCAAACCAGCACUGGAGGUAAUUUCAUGUGCUUUCUCUGAAGACUUCUUAAUGGCCUUUGAGAAAUAACACAAUUCAGAUCUGCAACCAGGAGGCAGGGUAGAUGUUGGACAGCAUGGGAAACAUGUGACUUGGACUUUAGAUCCUACCAUCUAGGGGUUAGGAGUAUUACCAUUAGAAAAUAGAAAUAUCUAUUUUUCAUUUCACACAUAUUAAUUAAUUCAUCUAAUUAGAAACACUCAUUGGGAACCUACCAUGUGCCAGAUAGUAUGAAUGUGGUGAGGAUACACCAAUGAAUAAGACAUGGUCCUGUUGUAAUUUUAUAGUAUAAUAGGGAUGGGAAGUAGGGAUGUUGAUACAUUAAAAUAUACUUUCGAUUCACUGAGAUAUAUGAAAUAGCAGAGGAAGAAUUUAGAAAGUAUAAUUAGUAUUUCUGGU
Molecule: long non-coding RNA, 979 nt
Filed under: Pan paniscus (pygmy chimpanzee)
Lineage: Eukaryota; Metazoa; Chordata; Mammalia; Primates; Hominidae
Description: lncRNA (ENSPPAG00000044531.1)
Source: RNAcentral